RNAcentral lists this ribosomal RNA (457 nucleotides) under Theileria sp. Its description in RNAcentral is "SSU rRNA". It matches the Rfam family "Eukaryotic small subunit ribosomal RNA", at positions 486 to 984 of the family's 1831-position model. The record is from RNAcentral. Lineage: Eukaryota; Apicomplexa; Aconoidasida; Piroplasmida; Theileriidae. RNAcentral also lists the same sequence under 1 other name.
CGGGGCUUAAAGUCUUGUAAUUGGAAUGAUGGGAAUUUAAACCUCUUCCAGAGUAUCAAUUGGAGGGCAAGUCUGGUGCCAGCAGCCGCGGUAAUUCCAGCUCCAAUAGCGUAUAUUAAAAUUGUUGCAGUUAAAAAGCUCGUAGUUGAAUUUCUGCUGCAUCGCUGCGUCCCCUCGGGGUCUCUGCAUGUGGCUUAUUUCAGACGAAGUUUCUUUGUCUGGAUGUUUACUUUGAGAAAAUUAGAGUGCUCAAAGCAGGCCUUUGCCUUGAAUAGUUUAGCAUGGAAUAAUAAAGUAGGACUUUGGUUCUAUUUUGUUGGUUUUAGGUACCAAAGUAAUGGUUAAUAGGAACAGUUGGGGGCAUUCGUAUUUAACUGUCAGAGGUGAAAUUCUUAGAUUUGUUAAAGACGAACUACUGCGAAAGCAUUUGCCAAGGAUGUUUUCAUUAAUCAAGAAC